AACUCCAAGAAGAGAAGACGGGUGCAGAAUCCCAAGCUUAGGAAGCAGUAUGCCGUCUUCACAACUCGGAGACAAAUUGCAGGCGCUAUGAACCGGAGCGAGGCGGUGACCUCCCAUUUGCUCGGAGCAAUGUCUGCAAUUCCAGAUUUACACGAUGUUGAUAAAGACGACAUUAUCUCCUGGCGAAGAAGAUGGCGUUGUUGGCGUGGUCUCUGGAUGGA
This is a long non-coding RNA of Fundulus heteroclitus (mummichog), 221 nucleotides long. RefSeq lists it as uncharacterized. Lineage: Eukaryota; Metazoa; Chordata; Actinopteri; Cyprinodontiformes; Fundulidae. The record is from RefSeq and is a predicted model, not a curated record. The transcript has 3 exons.